RNAcentral lists this ribosomal RNA (514 nucleotides) under Trichinella britovi. RNAcentral's name for it is "partial large subunit ribosomal RNA". It matches the Rfam family "Eukaryotic large subunit ribosomal RNA", at positions 1353 to 1750 of the family's 3401-position model. The record is from RNAcentral. Lineage: Eukaryota; Metazoa; Nematoda; Enoplea; Trichinellida; Trichinellidae.
CGUCUCAUUACGCACUUUUUUUUCGGAAAAGGUGUAAUGAACGUUGAGACGGGUAGGAAGGUCGCGACAGUGUUGCUUUGAAGAGUUUUGAGCGUGAGCUCGCUCGGAGCCGCUGUUGGUGCAGAUCUUGGUGGUAGUAGCAAAUAUUCAAGUGAGAACCUUGAAGGCUGAAGUGGAGCAAGGUUCCAUGUGAACAGCAGUUGGACAUGGGUCAGUCGAUCCUAAGAAAACGGCGAAAGCUUGUUCGAAUUUGCGACAUGAAUUGUAAGACUGUGUGUUUAUUGUGUGUGUGCAGUUGUCGUAUGUUUUCGAAAGGGAAUCCGGUUGAUAUUCCGGAACCGAGUAACGGAGACAAAGAGUAGCGCUUUAAUCUCUCUGUGGGGUUGGCGUUCAACUCAAUCGCGCGGUAACGCAAGCGAACUCGGAAAAUGACCGUCGUGAGUUUCGAAAAGAGUUUUCUUUUCUUUUUAAGGGACGCAUUCCCUGGAACCGGGUUGUCCGGAGAUAGGGAUUC